CCAAUAGCGUAUAUUAAAGUUGUUGCAGUUAAAAAGCUCGUAGUUGAAUUUCGAGAUCAAAUUGUUGGUCGUGCCUCGGUACGCACUGGCAUUAUUGGUUUCUCCCUUCUGAAGAACCACGAUGUCAUUAAUUUGGUGUCGUGGGGAAUCAGGACUGUUACUUUGAAAAAAUUAGAGUGUUUAAAGCAGGCUCACGCUUGAAUACAUUAGCAUGGAAUAAUGAAAUAGGACGUUUGAUUCUAUUUUGUUGGUUUCUAGGAUCGACGUAAUGAUUAAUAGGGAUAGUUGGGGGCAUUAGUAUUCAAUUGUCAGAGGUGAAAUUCUUGGAUUUAUUGAAGACUAACUACUGCGAAAGCAUUUGCCAAGGAUGUUUUCAUUAAUCAAGAACGAAAGUUAGGGGAUCGAAGACGAUCAGAUACCGUCGUAGUCUUAACCAUAAACUAUGCCGACUAGGGAUCGGAUGAUGUUAAUUUUUUAAUGACUCAUUCGGCGCCUUACG
Molecule: ribosomal RNA, 499 nt
Filed under: uncultured Glomeromycotina
Lineage: Eukaryota; Fungi; Glomeromycota
Description: partial small subunit ribosomal RNA
Rfam family: Eukaryotic small subunit ribosomal RNA
Source: RNAcentral